AGAAUCAACGCUGGCGGCGUGCCUAACACAUGCAAGUCGAACGAGAAAGUGGAGCAAUCCAUGAGUAAAGUGGCGCACGGGUGAGUAACACGUGACUAACCUACCCUUGAGUGGGGGAUAACCUAGGGAAACCUGGGCUAAUACCGCAUAAUACCUUCGGGUCAAAGGAGCAAUUCGCUUAAGGAGGGGGUCGCGGCCGAUUAGUUAGUUGGCGGGGUAAUGGCCCACCAAGACUGUGAUCGGUAUCCGGCCUGAGAGGGCGCACGGACACACUGGAACUGAAACACGGUCCAGACUCCUACGGGAGGCAGCAGUGGGGAAUUUUGCGCAAUGGGGGAAACCCUGACGCAGCAACGCCGCGUGGAGGAUGAAGUCCCUUGGGACGUAAACUCCUUUCGAUCGGGACGAUUAUGACGGUACCGGAAGAAGAAGCCCCGGCUAACUUCGUGCUAGCAGCCGC
Molecule: ribosomal RNA, 460 nt
Filed under: uncultured bacterium
Lineage: Bacteria
Description: SSU rRNA
Rfam family: Bacterial small subunit ribosomal RNA
Source: RNAcentral